Molecule: ribosomal RNA, 253 nt
Filed under: uncultured bacterium
Lineage: Bacteria
Description: partial 16S ribosomal RNA
Rfam family: Bacterial small subunit ribosomal RNA
Source: RNAcentral
UACGUAGGGACCAAGCGUUGUCCGGAAUCAUUGGGCGUAAAGAGCGUGUAGGCGGCUUGUUAAGUCUUGCGUGAAAUCUCGGGGCUCAACCCCGAGCGGUCGUGAGAAACUGGCAGGCUAGAGUGCGGGAGAGGAGAGUGGAAUUCCGGGUGGAGUGGUGAAAUGCGUAGAGAUCCGGAGGAACACCAGAGGCGAAGGCGGCCUGCUGGGCUGCACCUGACGCUGAGCCGCGAAAGCCAGGGGAGCGAACGGG